CAACUCAAUGGACCAAACCAGCAUACACAUACAUUCAAAGAGAGAGAUAUGGCAAUGCACUUCUAUACCAACAUCUUCCUUUUGGCUUUCUUUGCCAUUACUGGGAUUCUCUUUCCCAGUGACAACAACAUGGUUGUUGGCCAAGGUUGUAAAGCUGAUGUGGUGAAUUUGGUAAACAACUGUGGUAUGCACUUGAUAUGAACAAAGUGGUCUUUGUAGCAAAGUUCUGUGGCAGGCCACUGCCCCCUGGGUCUAAGUGUGGAGCGUACAAUGUCCCACCAGCAGCAUAUCUUGGAUGAAGAGACCGCUUGCAAAUCUAUAAAUUGCGACUUUUGUAAUGUUACGGGUGAAAAAAUGGCAUAAAUUUGGAUAUCAUUUGCUACAAUGUUGUAUCAUUAAAAUUUUCUACCGUGACUAAUGAGAAUAG
This is a long non-coding RNA of Quercus lobata, 427 nucleotides long. RefSeq lists it as uncharacterized. The transcript has 3 exons. NCBI's taxonomy places the organism in Eukaryota, Viridiplantae, Streptophyta, Magnoliopsida, Fagales, Fagaceae. The record is from RefSeq and is a predicted model, not a curated record.